GUUCAAAUAUAAUAAAUUUUUAAACGAGUCAUACGAUAAGUUCUCCAAAAUCAUUUCAAUCGUGUGAUUUUAAAAUUAAUAUAACACAUUUCAGCAAAGCCAAACAAUGAUGGAAUGUGCAUGUACACUAAUUAAUGUGUAAAUAUACACACAUGCGUUUUUUGGUUCAAGUACAUUUUCCAAAGUAGAAAUUUUCGAAAGUGAUCAUUCCAACUUGAAAAACUAUUUUUACAUUAUUAUUAUGAAUAUUACUC
RNAcentral lists this long non-coding RNA (254 nucleotides) under Mytilus galloprovincialis (Mediterranean mussel). The record is from RNAcentral. Lineage: Eukaryota; Metazoa; Mollusca; Bivalvia; Mytilida; Mytilidae.